UGAAAAUGAAACAAACAUAUUCCUAUUCGGUUAAGAAGUGAACAUUAAGUCUUCAAAUGAGAAAGUAAUCUAGGUAUAAGCUUCAAAAUUCUACACCACUUUAUAAUAAAUUAUGUUUUCUUAUUUAGCCAGUGAAGUAGUGUCAAAUGAUGUUGCUUUUAAGAAAGCUGAGAAAUUAAAAUCCUUUGCCCAAAUUGAAUGUUCAGAAUUUGGUGCAUUAGUUAACAAGUCUAAAUCUUCCUUCAUUUUCUUACUACAUUUGUGAAAGAUCUUUUUCUUUCUCUUUGAAACACAUAACUAUUCAAUUGGGAGUGUCAGUACCACUGCUGACUCAAUGCAACAGAUGUUGCACCUUGUUCCAUUGUCCUUUUUGUAGUGGUAAUGUUUUUAAGCCCUCCAAACUGGAAAAAUUAAAAAAGCAUUUGAAGAGUCAUUUCAAGAAGGCAGUUCUCCAUGAAGUAACAUGACAAAACGAAUAUCUUCAGGCACAUGGAUACUAAUUAAAAACAAGAAUCUUCCACAGCAGUUGGUUGGGUCAGUGGAUUGUGGAGUAUUCAUGUUGAUGGACAAAGGCGUUCACUAAAGGGGCACUGGAGAGUGUGAAUGAGACCCAGAGCAGUGAGGAGGAACCACUAAUAAAAAGGGACCUCCACACUGCAGUAAAAUGGUUGCGCCAACAUAGACAGUUGUUCAGAGGUGCCGUGUCUGAGCCCCAUUUUCUGGAGAUGGAGGAGGAGGACCAAAGCCGAGCUCUCCAGGACAUCAUCGAUGCAGUUGAAACUGAAGAUUUAAUUUUGGCAAAAGAACCCUUUAUAUUUAUUUUUCAGUUUAGGGAUGAUAUGGAACUUUUCACU
Polypterus senegalus (gray bichir) is the source of this 854-nucleotide long non-coding RNA. RefSeq lists it as uncharacterized. The transcript is spliced from 6 exons. NCBI's taxonomy places the organism in Eukaryota, Metazoa, Chordata, Cladistia, Polypteriformes, Polypteridae. The record is from RefSeq and is a predicted model, not a curated record.